GCGACCCUAGGUCAGGSGGGAACCACCCGCRGGAAUAAAGCAUAUCAAUGAGCGGAGGA
RNAcentral lists this ribosomal RNA (59 nucleotides) under Krameria revoluta. RNAcentral describes it as "partial 25S ribosomal RNA". Lineage: Eukaryota; Viridiplantae; Streptophyta; Magnoliopsida; Zygophyllales; Krameriaceae. The record is from RNAcentral.